GCCAGGGUGGCCGAGCGGUUCUAGGCGCUACAGUCUGGAACGCUGCGGUCGCAGGUUCGAAUCCUGCCUCUGGCA
RNAcentral lists this transfer RNA (75 nucleotides) under Schistocerca americana (American grasshopper). Its description in RNAcentral is "tRNA-Ser". It matches the Rfam family "tRNA". From Rfam's summary of the family: Transfer RNA (tRNA) molecules are approximately 80 nucleotides in length. Their secondary structure includes four short double-helical elements and three loops (D, anti-codon, and T loops). Further hydrogen bonds mediate the characteristic L-shaped molecular structure. tRNAs have two regions of fundamental functional importance: the anti-codon, which is responsible for specific mRNA codon recognition, and the 3' end, to which the tRNAs corresponding amino acid is attached (by aminoacyl-tRNA synthetases). tRNAs cope with the degeneracy of the genetic code in two manners: having more than one tRNA (with a specific anti-codon) for a particular amino acid; and 'wobble' base-pairing, i.e. permitting non-standard base-pairing at the 3rd anti-codon position. RNAcentral also lists the same sequence under 1 other name. Lineage: Eukaryota; Metazoa; Arthropoda; Insecta; Orthoptera; Acrididae. The record is from RNAcentral.